This 601-nucleotide small RNA is filed under the name Pan troglodytes (chimpanzee). Its description in RNAcentral is "processed transcript". The record is from RNAcentral. Lineage: Eukaryota; Metazoa; Chordata; Mammalia; Primates; Hominidae.
CUUCCGAGAGCGUUAUUUGUGAACCUUUCAUGAAGCCCCCGGGGCCAGGCUCCCUGAUCCCUGGGCCCAGACCACCCUGCAGUUCCCGCGCCAGGCUGGCACGGCGCCCGCCUUUCCCACCGGCCUCCCUGGUGCCAGACUGCGGGCCUCCUUGGGCCCUAGGGCUUGAACCAGCCCGCCUGCCCCGUUGGGCCUCUCCUCUGCUCUCCCGCGGAGCCCACUCUGACCGGGAGUGUCCCGUGGUGGCCUGAGAAUACCCUCUGCCCACAGGUCCCGAGCAGCCCGGCCCACCAUGGACCCCUCUGCCCACAGGUCCCGAGCAGCCCCGCCCAACAUGGACCCAGACCCCCAGGCGGGCGUGCAGGCGUCCGGCACCCCAACAUCAUCUGUGACUGCUGCAAGAAGCACGGGCUGCGGGGGAUGCGCUGGAAGUGCCGCGUGUGCCUGGACUACGACCUCUGCACGCAGUGCUACAUGCACAACAAGCAUGAGCUCGCCCACGCCUUCGACCGCUACGAGACCGCUCACUCGCGCCCUGUCACACUGAGUCCCCGCCAGGGCCUCCCGAGGAUCCCACUAAGGGGCAUCUUCCAGGGAGCGA